This 24-nucleotide non-coding RNA is filed under the name Arabidopsis thaliana (thale cress). The record is from RNAcentral. Lineage: Eukaryota; Viridiplantae; Streptophyta; Magnoliopsida; Brassicales; Brassicaceae.
AGUAUGCGUCAAUGGUUUGCUUUC